ACGGUCCUAAGGUAGCGAAAUUCCUUGUCGGGUAAGUUCCGACCCGCACGAAAGGUGUAACGAUUUGGGCACUGUCUCAACGAGGGACCCGGUGAAAUUGAAAUACCUGUGAAGAUGCAGGUUACCCGCGACUGGACAGAAAGACCCCAUGGAGCUUUACUGUAACCUGACAUUGGGUUUUGAUACAUUACGUACAGGAUAGGUGGGAGGCAUGGAAAGCUGGACGCUAGUCUGGCUGGAGCCGACGUUGGGAUACCACCCUUGAUGUAUUGAAAUUCUAACCGCGAGAGUAACGAAAUCCGGGACAGUGUCAGGCGGGCAGUUUGACUGGGGCGGUCGCCUCCGAAAGAGUAACGGAGGCGCCCAAAGGUUCCCUCAGCGCGGCCGGAAAUCGCGCGAAGAGUGUAAAGGCAGAAGGGAGCUUGACUGCGAGUCAAACACGACGAGCAGGUACGAAAGUAGGGCUUAGUGAUCCGGUGGUACCGAGUGGAAGGGCCAUCGCUCAACGGAUAAAAGCUACCCUGGGGAUAACAGGCUAAUCUCUCCCAAGAGUCCAUAUCGACGGGGAGGUUUGGCACCUCGAUGUCGGCUCAUCACAUCCUGGGGCUGAAGUCGGUCCCAAGGGUUGGGCUGUUCGCCCAUUAAAGUGGUACGUGAGCUGGGUUCAGAACGUCGUGAGACAGUUCGGUCCCUAUCCAUCGCGGGCGCAAGAGAUUUGAAGGGGGCUGCUCCUAGUACGAGAGGACCGGAGUGGACGAACCGCUGGUGUACCAAUUAUCCCGCCAGGGGUACAGUUGGGUAGCUACGUUCGGAAAGGAUAAACGCUGAAAGCAUCUAAGCGUGAAACCAGCCUUAAGAUGAGAUCUCUCAUAGAGUAAUCUAGUAAGACACCUUAAAGAAGAUGAGGUUGAUAGGUCGGGAGUGUAAGUACAGCAAUGUAUUGAGCGGACCGAUACUAAUAUGUCGAGGGCUUGACUUA
Molecule: ribosomal RNA, 979 nt
Filed under: human gut metagenome
Description: bacterial LSU rRNA
Rfam family: Bacterial large subunit ribosomal RNA
Source: RNAcentral